RNAcentral lists this ribosomal RNA (150 nucleotides) under Spinellus fusiger. RNAcentral's name for it is "5.8S ribosomal RNA". It matches the Rfam family "5.8S ribosomal RNA". Rfam says of the family: 5.8S ribosomal RNA (5.8S rRNA) is a component of the large subunit of the eukaryotic ribosome. It is transcribed by RNA polymerase I as part of the 45S precursor that also contains 18S and 28S rRNA. The record is from RNAcentral. Lineage: Eukaryota; Fungi; Mucoromycota; Mucoromycetes; Mucorales; Phycomycetaceae.
AACUUUCAGCAACGGAUCUCUUGGUUCUCGCAUCGAUGAAGAACGUAGCAAACUGCGAUACUUAAUGUGAAUUGCAAAUUCAGUGAAUCAUCGAGUCUUUGAACGCACAUUGCACUCAUUGGUAUUCCAAUGAGUACGCCUGUUUCAGCA